RNAcentral lists this ribosomal RNA (583 nucleotides) under uncultured Pleosporales. Its description in RNAcentral is "eukaryotic LSU rRNA". The stretch from base 210 to 363 matches the Rfam family "5.8S ribosomal RNA". Lineage: Eukaryota; Fungi; Ascomycota; Dothideomycetes; Pleosporales. The record is from RNAcentral.
UCCGUAGGUGAACCUGCGGAAGGAUCAUUAAAAAAGUACGCCUAGCAAAGUAGUAAUACCUAGCUAGGUUGUAUCUAACAACCUGUUUACCUAUACCUGUUUCCUUCCCUGAUUUAGGGUGCUCUGUCUGCUUGCAGGCUGGAGUUACCUUUCAGGGGUAACUAAAAAAUUGUCUUGUUGUAUUGUCUGAAUAAAAAAAUAAUAGUUAAAACUAUCAACAACGGAUCUCUAGGUUCUCGCAUCGAUGAAGAACGCAGCGAAAUGCGAUAAGUAGUGUGAAUUGCAGAUUUCAGUGAAUCAUCGAAUCUUUGAACGCACAUUGCGCCCUCUGGUAUUCCGGAGGGCAUGCCUGUUCGAGCGUCAUCAAAAACCUCAAUCUCUGAUUUAUCAUUGGUUGGUCUUGCACUGGAGGCGUAAGCUUCCUCUGCGAAAUCCAAUGGCGAUGAGCCACGCAACCAAAGCGUAGUAAUUUUUACCGUAAUGGAAACGUGAGCACAUCCGCCGUAACCCCCCCAUUCUAAGUUUUUGACCUCGGAUCAGGUAGGGAUACCCGCUGAACUUAAGCAUAUCAAUAAGCGGAGGA